AAGUUUCGAAAAUAGACUUACAUGCGCGUGAAAGGAGAAUUGUAUUUUUUUUUUAUCUUUACCCUAAAAACUGAAAAGUCAGUACCACUUUUUUUUUGUUUCCAUUCGUUGACGAACGCCAUUUGGAGAGAUCAUUGGAAGAAACCGAUUAGCUGAAAUCGAUUGUGAGGCGGAGUUGGCGAAGGAAGAAAUCUUAAAGCUUCAUCUUUGGGUUCGUGUUACUGGCAGAAAUUGAUAAUCGACGUUAGGUUUACGGAGAACUGUUCAAAUUCGCGGCAAAAUUUGCAAGGCGGAGUGAUCUCCUACCAAACCCAAAUCCAGAUUUACAGGUAUAUCGACGGUCGACCAAUAAAGAAAAUUUGCAAGACUAUUUUAAGUUUACAAGCUCAGUUAGGAUUUUAGUAUUUGCCUCCUUCAUCAUGGCCCUCUCCAUGGUUGUUUCUGUGUUGUUUUCGUUAGUUUCCCCCCCCACAUGAUUUUCUGGGUUCGUGUUUGUGGAAGCAAGUUAUGUAUGUUGUAAUAUGACUAUACUAUCUGAGCGACUUUGAUAGCGACUUUGAUAAUAUAGUCACCAUGUUUAGUAGAAAUAGCUCACAUAGCAAGAAUUGAUCAAAUUAUGCUAUUUUGUUAAAGUAAAAUAGUAUACAAGUAGUUGUACCUAUAUAUAUUUGAUCUUUGUCGAAUCUACCCAACAUAGGAGCUUUGAGUGAGUUUCGUUUGCUUGCUCAUGUUAUACUAUAUGGUUUUGUUUGUAGUAUAGUUCCAUGCUAUGAUUGUGGAAGCAUGCAUGGAGCUAUGCAGUUGAACAAAGUUCACUAUGUUAUGAUUGGACUCCAUCACCGCUGCAACUACUAGGAGCCACGAUGAAGGCAACUGGCAUUGUAGAUUUUUCCUUUCCUUCCAUAUGAUAAGGUGCCGUUCUAUACUAUUAUUUAUAUGGUGUAGUCCUUUUUUUUUGCAGCUUUGCUCUACUGCCUUCAUUGUAUCACACGUUCAUGUACAUGGCCGCAUUAUGAUGUAUAUGUACUUUUCGUGUUACAACUUCGUGCUAUGUAUAUUCAUGAAGAGAACUAAAGCUUAAGUUACAUAGUACCCAUUUGCGAAAGACCAUCGUUGUUGCCGCACCAUCAACCCCCCUGCUCCUUUACGAUUCUAUUUUUGUGCAAACCCCAUACCAAUACCGACGAUGUUAUGCUGUUGCUGGUGUUGUCACUUGACCUCGUUAUGAAAGACUGCCUUACAUUACUCUUCAUAAUGUGUAAAACAUGCGUCUUCCUAUAAUUGCAUCCAACUGUGCUUUGUAACUUCAGAGAUUGCUUGUAUGGUUAAUCGCACUUACAACAAAAGAUUAUACCAUUAUAAAAAUAGUAUAGUGGGGCAAUGAUAGUUUCCAAAACAGGAUAUGCUCAGCUUAAAUCAAAAUAAAAAAAAUAUUUUGUGUUAUAGUAGAGAUUUGACAA
Molecule: long non-coding RNA, 1460 nt
Organism: Brassica napus (rape)
Lineage: Eukaryota; Viridiplantae; Streptophyta; Magnoliopsida; Brassicales; Brassicaceae
Exons: 3
Source: RefSeq, a predicted model, not a curated record